UAACAUUUGAAAUGUAAAUAAAUAGAAGAAGAAAGAGAUGAAGGAGAAGAAGAGGAGGAGGAGGAGCAGGAGGAGAAGGAGGAGAAACAGAUUUUGCCUCUUCCUCCCUUUGUGUAGUGCUCACCUAUAAAUUAAUAUUGUGAUUUUUAAGUACAGCUUUGCAAGGUACAAGGAUUUUGGCUGAGAAUCUACCAAUGGGUCUAACACACAAUGAUUGAUCACAGGCAAUGAACUUAGGCUGGCUUCACAAGACUUUGUAGCCAGAUGAUUAGGCCAUAAACGACUAACUGCUGAGGCUAUAACCAGCUGACUGGUUGGUUGACUAGGCUGUAGCACGUUAGAUUCCGCUUUAGAUAGCGCUUGCUCCCGCUUUCCGAUUGAUGCUCUCUGAUUGUGUUGCUGGGCCUCUCGCGACUGUUCCGGGAGCUGCCCAAUGAAUGUGUUCUACCCAGAUUCAUCUAUGUGUGAUUGGUUCAAGCACCUUUAACAGUCUUGAGGAAGUCAGCGGAUUUAAGGUAGAAUCGACAGACCCUGGAAGUGCAAGGUCUUCAUGCUUGAGUACUGUGGCCACUGAGUCCUUGCUCUCUAUCUGGGAGUCAAAAGUCUGUCAUCUCUCAGCUGCCGAAGCUCCAUGGAUUUCGCUUUGUGUUCUCUGAGCUUGGUUGAGCAAACUUUGAAAAAAAAAUCAAAACUGGAGUUGUACGUCAUAACUAAAAACUAGAUCGGGUCUUCUUGAAAAGGUAGAUUCUGAACUGGAUUCAGCUGGAACAGGAACAGGCUCUGUGGAGAGAGCUGGAGAGUCUCAUUGAGAGCUAAGAAAAGGAAACUGAACUGAGUUUCCUAGGUAUCUGGCUGCUCAUGUAAAACAUUCUGCUAACACCAGGAAAAGAUGACAAAUGGAAUACACACAGCUCCUCUGUCACCAAGUGCCACAGAAGAAAUGUGUUUAUAUACACUUUAAGCAACAGAAUACAGGAAAUUAGUAAUUACAUCAAGUGCUGAGAGAAAAGAGGGUUGUCCAUUAUUAGUAUCUGCAAACUGAUGAAUGGAUGAACUAAAUUCACAAAUUUCUUUCUUCUGCUCCUUAUUUAAUAUGUAUGCAUUGUGCUGGCCUCAGUUUAGUGGAUGACAAUGAAUGGUCUCUGAUGAUGGUAUCAUAUAGUAGAGAAAAGUGGUCCUUAGGUCUCUUUGUAGUCACGAAAACAAUUAUUUUAUGAGGAAAUGUUUCUAGACUUUCAAAUGGUGUGUAUAUGAAAAAUGCUGAUACCAAAUAUUCUCAACUGUUUCAUAAGUUUUCAGUGCAAAUGAGUUUUACUAAGAGUAAAAUGUUAAUAAAUGGUUAUUGAUUUCUUCAGUUGUAUUUCAACUAAUGAUUGAUCUGAAGAAUUUUUUUAAAUCACUGCUCAUUGCCUCAAUAACCCAUGGUUCCUUUGGUCUCUGUAUCCUUGUGUAUUUUUUAAAAAAUGUCUCUUGCUAUUGAUAUUAGUUACAUUCUUCAAUCAGAAAUGAUGUAUGAUAUUAUUUCAAAUGGUAAACAUGUUACAAUGUAUUUUUGGCUUGA
Molecule: long non-coding RNA, 1561 nt
Organism: Apodemus sylvaticus (European woodmouse)
Lineage: Eukaryota; Metazoa; Chordata; Mammalia; Rodentia; Muridae
Exons: 2
Source: RefSeq, a predicted model, not a curated record